This 395-nucleotide ribosomal RNA is filed under the name Mantidactylus aerumnalis. RNAcentral describes it as "partial 16S ribosomal RNA". It matches the Rfam family "Bacterial large subunit ribosomal RNA", at positions 1941 to 2499 of the family's 2925-position model. Lineage: Eukaryota; Metazoa; Chordata; Amphibia; Anura; Mantellidae. The record is from RNAcentral.
CCUAACCGCGCGAAGGUAGCAUAAUCACUUGUUCUUUAAAUAGGGACUAGGUAUCAACGGCACCACGAGGGUUAUACUGUCUCCUAUUUCAAAUCAGUGAAACUAAUCUCCCCGUGAAGAAGCGGGGAUAUACUUAUAAGACGAGAAGACCCCAUGGAGCUUCAAACCCCGCUACACCCCGAUCUCUAUAACCCACUUAACCCACACGGACCCCUGUAUAGCUGGUUUUCGGUUGGGGCGACCACGGAGUACAACAAAACCUCCACAAUGAACGGGACUAAUCCCUCACCUAAGGCCCACACCCCUAAGAAUUAGAAUACUAACAUAAAGUGAUCCAUUAUUUGAUCAAUGAACCAAGUUACCCUGGGGAUAACAGCGCAAUCCACUUCAAGAGC